GGGGAAUAUUGCACAAUGGGGGAAACCCUGAUGCAGCCAUGCCGCGUGUGUGAAGAAGGCCCUAGGGUUGUAAAGCACUUUCAAUUGGGAGGAAAAGCUUGUCGUUAAUAGCGGCAAGCCCUGACGUUACCUUUAGAAGAAGCACCGGCUAACUCCGUGCCAGCAGCCGCGGUAAUACGGAGGGUGCGAGCGUUAAUCGGAAUUACUGGGCGUAAAGCGCGCGUAGGCGGUUGCCUCAGUCGGAUGUGAAAGCCCCGGGCUUAACCUGGGAACUGCAUCCGAUACUGGGCGACUAGAGUACGAGAGAGGGGGGUAGAAUUCCACGUGUAGCGGUGAAAUGCGUAGAUAUGUGGAGGAAUACCAGUGGCGAAGGCGGCCCCCUGGCUUGAUACUGACGCUGAGGUGCGAAAGCGUGGGGAGCAAACAGG
This 428-nucleotide ribosomal RNA is filed under the name uncultured bacterium. Its description in RNAcentral is "bacterial SSU rRNA". It matches the Rfam family "Bacterial small subunit ribosomal RNA", at positions 356 to 776 of the family's 1533-position model. The record is from RNAcentral.